AGAGUUUGAUCAUGGCUCAGGAUAAACGCUGGCGGCGUGCCUUUACGCAUGCAAGUCGAACGAGUACUUCGGUACUAGUGGCGGACGGGUGAGUAACACGUAUGUGAUCUGUCCCGAACUGGGGGAUAACCGCCCGAAAGGGUGGCUAAUACCGCAUGUGGUCUUUGGGUUGCGGCCCAGAGAGUAAAGCUCCGGCGGUUCGGGGGGAGCGUGCGGCCGAUUAGCUAGUUGGUGGGGUAAAAGCCUACCAAGGCGACGAUCGGUAGCUGGUCUGAGAGGACGAUCAGCCACACGGGGACUGAGACACGGCCCCGACUCCUACGGGAGGCAGCAGCGAGGAAUCUUGGUCAAUGGGCGCAAGCCUGAACCAGCGACGCCGCGUGGAGGAUGAAGGCCCUCGGGUUGUAAACUCCUUUUGGGUGGGAAGAAGCUCUGACGGUACCACCCGAAUAAGCCCCGGCUAACUACGUGCCAGCAGCCGCGGUAAUACGUAGGGGGCGAGCGUUGUCCGGAUUUAUUGGGCGUAAAGCGCGCGCAGGCGGUUCGUUAAGUCCGUUGUGAAAGCUCCCGGCUCAACUGGGAGAGGUCUUCGGAUACUGGCGAACUCGAGGGAGGCAGAGGAAGGUGGAAUUCCGGGUGUAGUGGUGAAAUGCGUAGAGAUCCGGAGGAACACCAGUGGCGAAGGCGGCCUUCUGGGCCUUUCCUGACGCUGAGGCGCGAAAGCGUGGGGAGCGAACCGGAUUAGAUACCCGGGUAGUCCACGCCGUAAACGAUGCUCACUAGAUGUGGGGGGUAUCGACCCCCUCCGCGUCGAAGCUAACGCAUUAAGUGAGCCGCCUGGGGAGUACGGCCGCAAGGCUAAAACUCAAAGGAAUUGACGG
This 881-nucleotide ribosomal RNA is filed under the name uncultured bacterium. RNAcentral describes it as "bacterial SSU rRNA". It matches the Rfam family "Bacterial small subunit ribosomal RNA", at positions 8 to 916 of the family's 1533-position model. The record is from RNAcentral.